RNAcentral lists this ribosomal RNA (266 nucleotides) under uncultured bacterium. Its description in RNAcentral is "partial 16S ribosomal RNA". It matches the Rfam family "Bacterial small subunit ribosomal RNA", at positions 28 to 280 of the family's 1533-position model. The record is from RNAcentral.
GAUGAACGCUAGCUACAGGCUUAACACAUGCAAGUCGAGGGGCAGCAUGGUCUUAGCUUGCUAAGGCCGAUGGCGACCGGCGCACGGGUGAGUAACACGUAUCCAACCUGCCGUCUACUCUUGGACAGCCUUCUGAAAGGAAGAUUAAUACAAGAUGGCAUCAUGAGUCCGCAUGUUCACAUUGAAUUAAAGGUAUUCCGGUAGACGAUGGGGAUGCGUUCCAUUUAGAUUAGGUAGGCGGGGUAACGGCCCACCUAGUCUUCGAU